Molecule: long non-coding RNA, 1957 nt
Filed under: Ananas comosus (pineapple)
Lineage: Eukaryota; Viridiplantae; Streptophyta; Magnoliopsida; Poales; Bromeliaceae
Description: long non-coding RNA (ACOM_LNC027108)
Source: RNAcentral
UCCUAAAACCCUGAACUUUGAAUGUAAUUAAAAAUAUAGUAUAGUUUGAGAUACAUGCAGGUUGAAAAUACAGCAGUCACAACUAUACAUGAAUCUUAUUUGGUUCGAUGUAAUAGAAAGCACUGCAACUAUAAAUAAUUGGCUUGAUUGCAUGCAGUUGAAAAGUGUAUGUUUUUAAAUUUUAGUAUUAUAUAUAUAUGGUAGUGAGAUUACCUCCAAUGCAGAAAAAAUAAUUAUUUUCUAUUUAAAAAGUUAUUAGAUAACCUCGACAAAAUAUGUAUAUCGAAGGGCAUAUCAUCUACACUAAGAGACUGUUUGGUUGGAUGUAAUUAAAAAUACAGUGUAGUUUGAUAUACAUGCAAUUGAAAAUACAACAAUCACAACCAUAUAUGAAUCUUAUUUGGUUCGAUGUAAUAGAAAGCAUUGCAAUUAUAAAUAAUUGGCUUGAUUGCAUGCAGUUGAAAAGUGUAAUUUUUAAAUUUUUAAAUUUUAUAUAUAUGGUAGUGAGAUUACCUCCAAUGUAGAAAAGAUAAUUAUUUUCUAUUUAAAAAGUUAUUAGAUAACCUCGACAAAAUAUGUAUAUCAAAAGGGCAUAUUAUCUAUACUAAGAGACUGUUUGGUUGGAUGUAAUUAAAAAUACAAUGUAAUUUGAUAUACAUGCAAUUGAAAAUACAACAAUCACAACCAUAUAUGAAUCUUAUUUGGUUCGAUGUAAUAGAAAGUGUUGCAAUUAUAAAUAAUUGGCUUGAUUGCACGCAAUUGAAAAGUGUAGUUUUUAAAUUUUAGUAUUUUAUAUAUAUGGUAGUGAGAUUACCUCUCCAAUGUAGAAAAGAUAAUUAUUUUCUAUUUAAAAAGUUAUUAGAUAACCUCGACAAAAUAUGUGUAUCAAAAGGGCAUAUCAUCUACACUAAGGGCUUGUUUGGUUCAAGGGUGGAAUUGGAAUGGAUAAUGGAAUGAGAAUGAAUUGGAAUGGUAAUUGAAAUGACCCACUCCUCCAAGACGUUUGGUUUAUUUGUGGAUUGGGAAUUGGAAUGGGUUAUUUAAAUUUCAUUGUUUGAUUCAUAUAAACUAAAAAAAUUAUAGGAUACUAUAAUACUAAUUUUACUCUCAAAUAUAAAUUUAUAUUAUUUAAAAUUUAUAAAAGAUAUAAUACUAUUCUCUAAUAAAUUUUCCAAAAAAAAAUAUCAAAUUUAUUUUUAAAAACUUUUAUUGAUGUGGGUUAGGGAUAGGGUUUUGAGAGAGGAUAGAUUUUUUUUUUUUUUUGAUGAGAAAGGGGUGAAGAGAAGGAGGGUGAGAUGGUCACAUGGGCUUUGGGCUUGCGGAAUGAAAUCUCAAUCCGGGCUAGAAGACCGGAAUCAAGUUGAAGGCUAAUGGGCCAUUCCCAUUCCAGUCCGGAAUAGGAAUCCCAAACCGAUUCAUGCAAACCAAACAAAAUUAACUGGAUUUAAUCAAACCGAUUCCCAUUCCAUAUCCAAAAUAGAUGAACCAAACAAGCCUUAAGAGACUGUUUGGUUGGAUGUAAUUAAAAAUACAGUGUAAUUUAAUAUACAUGCAAUUGAAAAUACAGCAGUUACAACCAAUACGUGAAUCUUAUUUGGUUCGAUAUAAUAAAAAGUGUUGCAACUAUAAAUAUUUGACUUAAUUGCAUGCAGUUGAAAAGUGUAUUUUUUAAAGUUAUAGUAUUUUAUAUAUAUAGUAGUGAGAUUACCUCUGGUGUAGAAAAACAAAUUAUUUUCUAUUUAAAAAGUUAUUAGGAAGGUAAGUUUAUUUUUUGUUUAACGUUAUUCUCCCCAACUACCGUAAUUGAAACUGUGGCCAAUUUAAGCGUAGUUCUAUUGCAGUUGGGCCUCCUUAUGCAGUUCCAACCGCAACAAUUGGAUUCGAAUACAUCAAACCAAAUACUGAAUUUGAACUGCAGCUAAUUUAGACGUAAUUCUGUUAUGGUUUGAUGUAUAAC